GCCGAAGUGGCGGAAUUGGUAGACGCGCUAGGUUCAGGGUCUAGUGGGGGUGCCUCCGUGCGAGUUCAAAUCUCGCCUUCGGCA
RNAcentral lists this transfer RNA (84 nucleotides) under Desulfobacterales bacterium. Its description in RNAcentral is "tRNA-Leu". It matches the Rfam family "tRNA". From Rfam's summary of the family: Transfer RNA (tRNA) molecules are approximately 80 nucleotides in length. Their secondary structure includes four short double-helical elements and three loops (D, anti-codon, and T loops). Lineage: Bacteria; Pseudomonadati; Thermodesulfobacteriota; Desulfobacteria; Desulfobacterales. The record is from RNAcentral.